UGGUAUAGCAAUGUUCCUCAUACAAAGCUGGUGGAGUACAAGGGGCACCAGAACUGGGUUAAUGUCUCGGGGAGCACCUGGUCUUUCCGGGAGGCGGAACUCAGUUCAAGCAUGGUGCUCUGCAUUACAUUGAUUUCAUUCAGGAGGCAAAGAAAGAUGUGGCAUGGGGAAAACUGACCUAUGUAGUUUUAGACGCAGGCAAAGAAAGAUGUGGCAUGAGGCCAGAGGUGGCCGGAUCUGGCAAAGGUAAGCCCCUCCCCUCCUUCUUCGUGCACCAUCUCCUCCUCACCUCACCUUGUCUCGUGUUCCUUUUUGACAGGUCCUCCCCUCCUCACCAUCUCCGUUGCCGGGCCAAGGUUCCGCCGAUCCCCCAAGGUGCAGCUCCCGGCCAUGGGGAAGCACCAGCAGCCGGAGGCGGCCGAGCAGCCCAUGGCGCCGGUGCGAGGCCCUCCCCUCCUCACCAUCUCGUGAAUGGUGUAGGCCCCGAAGCGAGGCGGCAAGGCGCCGGUGUCGGUGAAGAAGAAGGCGGCGUACAAGGUGGUGAACCCGCUGUUUGAGAAGAGGCCGAAGCAGUUUGGAAUCGGUGGCGCCCUGCCGCCCAAGAAGGCCCAAGAAGGACCUCCACUGGUUCGUCAAGUGGCCCGAGGUCGUGCGCAUCCAGCGCCAGCGCCGCAUCCUCAAGCAGCGCCUCAAGGUGCCCUGGCACUCCACUAGUUCACCCGCACCCUCGACAAGAACCUCUGUAUAUACGAAACAUGCCUGUUCAUUCGUCGCUGGACUCGGAAUCCACAAUGCCUGAGGUCGUUUAGUUGUUGUGCUGUAUUAUUUUGAGCGAGUAUUAACUUGGCCAAGAUAAUGGAAAGAGUUGAUGGAUGUGUUUUAAGAU
Molecule: non-coding RNA, 886 nt
Organism: Aegilops tauschii subsp. strangulata
Lineage: Eukaryota; Viridiplantae; Streptophyta; Magnoliopsida; Poales; Poaceae
Source: RefSeq, a predicted model, not a curated record